CUUGUAAGCCAGAAUAAGCAGAAAAGGAAGCAUUGUAACUUCUUAGGCAAGCAAUUGAUAUAGUAAAAAUGAAUUAUGUGUUCAUAAACAAUGUAAAAGAUAAAAAACAUUUAUCUGUCACAACUUCCCAACUAUGCUAUUGUGGAUCAAAAGCAGCUAUAGACAAUAUGUAAAUGAAUUAGCAUGGCUGUGUCCUAAUAAAAGUUUAUUUAUGGGGACAGGCGUGGUGGCUCACACCUGUAAUUCCAGCACUUUGGGAGACUGAGGCGGGCGGAUCAUAAGGUCAGGAGAUGAGACCAUCCUGGCUAACACGGUGAA
This 318-nucleotide long non-coding RNA is filed under the name Homo sapiens (human). RNAcentral's name for it is "non-protein coding lnc-FH-4:6". The record is from RNAcentral. Lineage: Eukaryota; Metazoa; Chordata; Mammalia; Primates; Hominidae.